RNAcentral lists this ribosomal RNA (450 nucleotides) under uncultured bacterium. RNAcentral's name for it is "partial 16S ribosomal RNA". It matches the Rfam family "Bacterial small subunit ribosomal RNA", at positions 354 to 796 of the family's 1533-position model. The record is from RNAcentral.
GUGGGGAAUAUUGGACAAUGGGCGAAAGCCUGAUCCAACCAUGCCGCGUGUGUGAAGAAGGUCUUCGGAUUGUAAAGCACUUUAAGUUGGGAGGAAGGGCAGUAAGUUAAUACCUUGCUGUUUUGACGUUACCGACAGAAUAAGCACCGGCUAACUUCGUGCCAGCAGCCGCGGUAAUACGAAGGGUGCAAGCGUUAAUCGGAAUUACUGGGCGUAAAGCGCGCGUAGGUGGUUUUGUAAGUUGGAGGUGAAAUCCCCGGGCUCAACCUGGGAACUGCCUCCAAAACUGCAUGACUAGAGUACGGUAGAGGGUAGUGGAAUUUCCUGUGUAGCGGUGAAAUGCGUAGAUAUAGGAAGGAACACCAGUGGCGAAGGCGACUACCUGGACUGAUACUGACACUGAGGUGCGAAAGCGUGGGGAGCAAACAGGAUUAGAUACCCGAGUAGUCC